ACGUUCCCGGGCCUUGUACACACCGCCCGUCACACCAUGAGAGUUUGUAACACCCAAAGUCGGUGGGGUAACCUUUUAGGAACCAGCCGCCUAAGGUGGGACAGAUGAUUAGGGUGAAGUCGUAACAAGGUAGCCGUAGGAGAACCUGCGGCUGGAUCACCU
RNAcentral lists this ribosomal RNA (162 nucleotides) under Lactobacillus sp. LS8. RNAcentral's name for it is "partial 16S ribosomal RNA". It matches the Rfam family "Bacterial small subunit ribosomal RNA", at positions 1368 to 1528 of the family's 1533-position model. Lineage: Bacteria; Bacillati; Bacillota; Bacilli; Lactobacillales; Lactobacillaceae. The record is from RNAcentral.